UGACGCGGAUCACCUGCCACU
Molecule: non-coding RNA, 21 nt
Filed under: Mus musculus (house mouse)
Lineage: Eukaryota; Metazoa; Chordata; Mammalia; Rodentia; Muridae
Source: RNAcentral